RNAcentral lists this ribosomal RNA (478 nucleotides) under uncultured bacterium. RNAcentral describes it as "bacterial SSU rRNA". It matches the Rfam family "Bacterial small subunit ribosomal RNA", at positions 28 to 502 of the family's 1533-position model. The record is from RNAcentral.
GAUGAACGCUGGCGGCGUGCUUAACACAUGCAAGUCGAACGAGGAUUUAACGGAAUGCGAUUCGUCAAAUGAAAUUAAAUCCGAGUGGCGGACGGGUGAGUAACGCGUGGAUAACCUGCCUCACACAGGGGGACAACAGUUGGAAACGACUGCUAAUACCGCAUAAGCGCACAGGAUUGCAUGAUCUGGUGUGGAAAAACUCCGGUGGUAUAAGAUGGACCCGCGUCUGAUUAGCUGGUUGGUGAGGUAACGGCCCACCAAGGCGACGAUCAGUAGCCGACCUGAGAGGGUGACCGGCCACAUUGGGACUGAGACACGGCCCAAAACUCCUACGGGAGGCAGCAGUGGGGAAUAUUGCACAAAUGGGGGAAACCCUGAUGCAGCGACGCCGCGUGAGCGAUGAAGUAUUUCGGUAUGUAAAAACUCAUCAGCAGGGAAGAUAAUGGACGGUAACCUGACUAAGAAGCACCGGCUAAAA